RNAcentral lists this non-coding RNA (24 nucleotides) under Cricetulus griseus (Chinese hamster). The record is from RNAcentral. Lineage: Eukaryota; Metazoa; Chordata; Mammalia; Rodentia; Cricetidae.
CACUGUCUCACAGUCUCAUGUACC